This 769-nucleotide long non-coding RNA is filed under the name Cricetulus griseus (Chinese hamster). Its description in RNAcentral is "lncRNA (ENSCGRG00015041429.1)". The record is from RNAcentral. Lineage: Eukaryota; Metazoa; Chordata; Mammalia; Rodentia; Cricetidae.
GCCCUCACUAUGAGGAAAAGGCAUCUAGUGUUUGCUGAAUGAACAUUUUACACAAGUCACCGUGGUAAACCAAGAUAUAGCAAAUAAAACAGCAGCCUGUCCUUUCAUUUAAUUUAUGAAGUAUGGGAUAACGUGGGAGGAAGAGGGGCAAAGAUGUCCUGGAAUUUGAAGCUGCUGCCCUGAUCCUAUGACAAUCAUACACUCCUCCCUGCUUUGAUGUUGUGUACUUGCCUGAAGGAAAUGAAGAAAUGUUAAUCAUGGCAAGUGUGUUGGAGUGCCUGGAAGUGAUUUCAAGUUCUUCAAGGCAGAUUGUGAUGUUGAAAGCAGCUUCAUCCAUUUUGUGGCCAUGAAGGAGGAAAAGGAACAAUCAAAAGGAGAAUUCCAGAAAUUCCAGUCUCAAUUUGAUCAAGCUAUUAGAACAAUGGUGCUUGUUGGACAGUGUAUGGCUACUUUGAAGUUUUUCACAUAUAUAUAAUAAUUGUGCAUAUUUCUGGGAUGUGAUGUGUUAUUUUCAUAGAUAUAGGCACUAAAAUUAUCCCAUGUUUAUUCACUCUAAACAAUAGUGUGUGGAGAAUAGUCAUAACUGGAGCUAUGUAACACACAUAGGAACAAUCCAUCAGAGAUUGUUCACAGGUGAACAUUAUGUUAUGAAAUAAAACACUUAAGAAUGAAGUUAAAUACAGUUGUGAUGCUGAAAAAAUAUGAAGUUAAAUGCAGUUGUGAUACUGAAAAAAAGAUGGUGAUCAUUUUACUUGGUAAUCAAAACAGA